RNAcentral lists this ribosomal RNA (497 nucleotides) under uncultured bacterium. RNAcentral's name for it is "partial 16S ribosomal RNA". It matches the Rfam family "Bacterial small subunit ribosomal RNA", at positions 28 to 507 of the family's 1533-position model. The record is from RNAcentral.
GAUGAACGCUGGCGGCGUGCCUAAUACAUGCAAGUCGAGCGAACAGACGAGGAGCUUGCUCCUCUGACGUUAGCGGCGGACGGGUGGGUAACACGUGGAUAACCUACCUAUAAGACUGGGAUAACUUCGGGAAACCGGAGCUAAUACCGGAUAAUAUAUUGAACCGCAUGGUUCAAUAGUGAAAGACGGUUUUGCUGUCACUUAUAGAUGGAUCCGCGCCGCAUUAGCUAGUUGGUAAGGUAACGGCUUACCAAGGCAACGAUGCGUAGCCGACCUGAGAGGGUGAUCGGCCACACUGGAACUGAGACACGGUCCAGACUCCUACGGGAGGCAGCCGUAGGGAAUCUUCCGCAAUGGGCGAAAGCCUGACGGAGCAACGCCGCGUGAGUGAUGAAGGUCUUCGGAUCGUAAAACUCUGUUAUUAGGGAAGAACAAAUGUGUAAGUAACUAUGCACGUCUUGACGGUACCUAAUCAGAAAGCCACGGCUAACUACGUG